GCAGUAGCCACGGUAAUACGUAGGGUGCGAGCGUUAACCGGAAUUACUGGGCGUAAAGCGUGCGCAGGCGGUUGUGCAAGACAGAUGUGAAAUCCCCGAGCUUAACUUGGGAACUGCAUUUGUGACUGCACGGCUAGAGUGUGUCAGAGGGGGGUAGAAUUCCACGUGUAGCAGUGAAAUGCGUAGAUAUGUGGAGGAAUACCGAUGGCGAAGGCAGCCCCCUGGGAUAACACUGACGCUCAUGCACGAAAGCGUGGGGAGCAAACAGGAUUAGAUACCCCUGUAGUCCCUGUCUCUUAUAC
This 302-nucleotide ribosomal RNA is filed under the name uncultured bacterium. Its description in RNAcentral is "partial 16S ribosomal RNA". It matches the Rfam family "Bacterial small subunit ribosomal RNA", at positions 508 to 807 of the family's 1533-position model. The record is from RNAcentral.